RNAcentral lists this unclassified non-coding RNA (734 nucleotides) under Hevea brasiliensis (rubber tree). The record is from RNAcentral. Lineage: Eukaryota; Viridiplantae; Streptophyta; Magnoliopsida; Malpighiales; Euphorbiaceae.
GAAGUUACUUUGAUGACUGAGCCUAAAUUUCUUCAAAUUGAAAAUAAGAAAUUGAUACAUCAAAAGAUUAUCCCAAAAAGAUUUUAUUUUCUUCCAACUGAUCAAGAAAAAUCCAGAAAAUUUAUGAAUUUAUUCGUAAUAGAUACAAAAUUAAAAUCAAACACUAUCAAUCUCAAGAAUACAAAGAUUUCAUAACCCAUUCAAUUUUCAGAAUCCCUGAGGUUAUCACUGCUACCUAAUGGAGCAUCAACCUCUACAAACAAAGAAAAUUCUCAUAUGCAUGUAUAAUUAUUGCAAUUGCAAACAAGCUUGGUGAAGGAACUUCUACAUUUAAAAUAAUACUUUUGUCAUUUAAGGUUAAUUUGUUUUUCUGUGUCAGUUUUUCUUUCCAAAGAUGCAGCCAUAAAACAAGAAAAAUGAAAAUCAAAUUCACAUAGUUAAUCCCAAAUGAUUUAGAAUUAAGAUUCAGUAAAUUUAAGUAGGGUGAGCCAGCCAUAAAUUUGGAUUGGUUUGGUUUCCCCAUUUUUCAAACAGACCACUUCGGUUAGGAUGAUCAUUUAACCGCUAACCCACCUAGUCUUAAGGACACCCUUGCACAAUACCAUUGACACUUGAAAAAUACUAGCAACACUUUCUUUUACACUAUUUUAAACACUUUUCUCUACUAUUGGUCUUAAUUUUAUCGCACAUAUCUAGAAACCAAUUCUAUGUGUUAAAUAGAGCUUCCUAUUAAC